RNA transcript from Melopsittacus undulatus (budgerigar), 3129 nucleotides. It is a transcript of the gene named protocadherin-9-like, with no coding region annotated. The transcript has a single exon. The record is from RefSeq and is a predicted model, not a curated record. Lineage: Eukaryota; Metazoa; Chordata; Aves; Psittaciformes; Psittaculidae.
AUGGACCUGAGGGAUUUUUACCUGUUGGCUGCUUUGAUUGCCUGUUUGAGACUGGAUUCUGCUAUAGCUCAGAACUUAUUUACACUAUUAGAGAGGAGCUGCUGAAAACGUACCCAUAGGGAACAUACCAAAGGACCUGAAACAUUUCUCAUAUCAAUGCUGCCACGGGGACCAGUGCCAGCCUGUCCUACAGACUGGUGUCUAAAGCAGGGGAUGCACCUCUGGUCAAAGUGUCCAGUAACACUGGGGAAAUCUUUACGAACAUCUAACAGAAUAGACAGAGAAAAACUUUGUGCUGGUGCUUCGUAUGCAGAAGAAAAUGAGUGUUUCUUUGAACUUGAAGUGGUGAUUCUCCCCAAUGACUUUUUAGGCUGAUCAAAAUAAAAAUCAUUGUAAAGGAUACUAAUGACAACGCACCUAUGUUUCCGUCCCCUGUCAUCAAUAUCUCGAUCCCAGAAAACACUCUGAUCAACAGUCGCUUUCCAAUCCCAUCAGCAACAGAUCCUGACACGGUUUCAACGGUGUGCAGCACUAUGAGUUGUUAAACGGGCAGAGUGUGUUUGGACUGGAUAUUGUAGAAACUCCAGAAGGAGAGAAAUGGCCUCAGCUAAUCGUGCAGCAGAACUUGGACAGAGAGCAAAAGGACACCUACGUGAUGAAAAUCAAAGUGGAGGAUGGAGGUACCCCUCAGAAAUCCAGCACAGCCAUCCUGCAAGUCACAGUAAGUGAUGUCAAUGAUAACAGGCCGGUGUUUAAAGAAAGUCAAGUAGAGGUUCAUAUACCAGAGAAUGCCCUGUAGGCACCUCUGUAAUUCAGCUUCAUGCUACUGAUGCAGAUAUAGGAAGCAAUGCAGAAAUCAGAUACAUUUUUGGUGCCCAGUUGCCCCUGCAACCAAAAGAUUUUUUGCUUUAAACAACACCACAGGGCUGAUUACAGUGCAGAGGUCCUUAGAUCGAGAAGAGACUGCUAUUCACAAAGUGACAGUGUUGGGCUAGUGAUGGUAGCUCUACACCAGCCCGGGCCACUGUUACCAUCAAUGAUCACUGAUGUAAAUGAUAACCCUCCUAACAUAGACCUCAGGUAUAUAAUAAGUCCCAUCAAUGGGCACAGUGUACUUAUCUGAGAAAGAUCCCAGCAAUACAAAGAUUGCCCUAAUUACAGUCUCAGAUAAGGACACUGAUGUGAACGGCAAAGUGAUCUGUUUCAUUGAGAGAGAGGUCCCCUUCCACUUGAAGGCAGUUUAUACGACAACCAGUACUUGUUAGAGACCUCUUCCUUGUUGGACUAUGAGGGCACCAAAGAAUUCAGCUUUAAAAUUGUUGCUUCUGAUUCUGGCAAGCCCAGUUUGAACCAGACUGCCCUGGUAAGAGUUAAACUGGAGGAUGAAAAUGACAACCCUCCAAUUUUCAGCCAGCCUGUAAUUGAGCUGUCAGUUUCUGAAAACAACCGGCGUGGUCUAUACUUAACAACUAUUAGUGCCACAGAUGAAGACAGUGGGAAAAAUGCAGACAUUGUGUAUCAGCUUGGCCCUAAUGCCUCCUUUUUUGAUCUGGAUCGAAGACAGGAGUUUUGACAGCCUCCAGAGUUUUUGACAGAGAAGAGCAGGAGCGUUUCAUUUUCACUGUUACAGCACGAGACAAUGGCACCCCUCCUUUGCAGAGUCAAGCAGCCGUAAUUGUUACUGUGUUGGACGAAAAUGACAACAGUCCCAAAUUUACUCAUAACCACUUCCAGUUUUUUGUAUCAGAGAACUUACCAAGUACAGCACAGUGGGGGUGAUCACAGUGACUGAUUGCAGAUGCUGGGGAAAAUAAAGCAGUGACCCUUUCCAUCCUGAAUGACAAUGAAAACUUUGUGCUGGAUCCAUACUCUGGAGUUAUAAAGUCCAAUGUUUCCUUUGAUCGAGAGCAGCAGAGCUCCUACACUUUUGAUGUUAAGGCAGUGGAUGGAGGGCAACCUCCUCGCUCUUCUUAACGGCAAAAGUAACCAUAAAACGUGAUGGAUGUUAAUGAUAACAGCCCCGUUGUCAUCUACCCACCUUCUAACACUUCUUUUAAGCUAGUGCCACUCUCAGCAAUUCCAGGAUCUGUGGUAGCUGAAGUCUUUGCUGUGGAUAUAGACACUGGCAUGAACGCUGAGCUUAAAUACACAAUUGUAAGUGGAAAUAAUAAGGGUUUGUUUCGGAUUGAUCCAGUGACAGGUAAUAUCACUCUGGAAGAAAAACCAACUCCUAAUGAUGUGGGGCUGCAUCGCUUAGUUGUCAACAUAAGUGAUUUGGGUUAUCCCAAAUCCCUGCAUACUCUUGUGCUUGUGUUUUUGUACGUAAAUGAUACUGCUGGAAAUGCUUCUUAUAUUUAUGACUUGAUACGCAGGACUAUGGAGACACCUUUGGACAGGAAUAUAGGGGACAGUAGCCAACCCUACCAAAACGAGGACUAUCUCACAAUCAUGAUUGCCAUUGUGGCGGGUGCCAUGGUUGUCAUAGUGGUGAUAUUUGUCACAGUUCUUGUUCGCUGUCGCCAUGCAUCCAGAUUCAAAGCCGCCCAGAGGAGCAAGCAAGGUGCUGAGUGGAUGUCUCCCAAUCAAGAGAACAAGCAAAACAAGAAAAAGAAAAGGAAGAAAAGGAAAUCUCCGAAGAGCUCUCUUUUGAACUUUGUGACCAUUGAGGAGUCCAAACCUGAUGAUGCAGUACAUGAACCUAUCAACGGGACAAUAAGCCUUCCAGCAGAGCUGGAGGAGCAAAGUAUAGGAAGAUUUGAUUGGGGCACAGCACCACCAACAACCUUUAAGCCUAACAGUCCUGAUCUUGCCAAGCAUUACAAAUCUGCCUCUCCGCAGUCUGCUUUUCAUCUCAAACCCGACACUCCAGUUUCAGUGAAAAAGCACCAUGUGAUUCAGGAACUCCCGUUGGACCAACACCUUUGUUGGUGUUGUGACACCCUUUCCAAACGCUCUUCCACUAGUUCAGAUCACUUCAGUGCCUCAGAGUGCAGUUCCCAAGGAGGCUUCAAGACAAAGGGCCCCUUACACACCAGACAGGUAAACGAGCACUUUUACUGGUCUAUAAGUACUGCAUACAAGUGCCCAAUCAACCAGUAUUAAAAGUGCCCCUGUGUUGUGGUUUGUUUU